CAGUCGCCGCGGGAAUACGGAGGGUGCAAGCGUUAUCCGGAUUUAUUGGGUUUAAAGGGUCCGUAGGCGGAUCUGUAAGUCAGUGGUGAAAUCUUACAGCUUAACUGUGAAACUGCCAUUGAUACUGCAGGUCUUGAGUAAAUUUGAAGUGGCUGGAAUAAGUAGUGUAGCGGUGAAAUGCAUAGAUAUUACUUAGAACACCAAUUGCGAAGGCAGGUCACUAAGAUUUAACUGACGCUGAUGGACGAAAGCGUGGGGAGCGAACAGGAUUAGAUACCCGAGUAGUCCCUGUCUCUUAUAC
RNAcentral lists this ribosomal RNA (301 nucleotides) under uncultured bacterium. RNAcentral's name for it is "partial 16S ribosomal RNA". It matches the Rfam family "Bacterial small subunit ribosomal RNA", at positions 509 to 807 of the family's 1533-position model. The record is from RNAcentral.